RNAcentral lists this ribosomal RNA (274 nucleotides) under uncultured bacterium. Its description in RNAcentral is "partial 16S ribosomal RNA". It matches the Rfam family "Bacterial small subunit ribosomal RNA", at positions 523 to 796 of the family's 1533-position model. The record is from RNAcentral.
AUACAGAGGAUGCGAGCGUUAAUCGGAAUUACUGGGCGUAAAGCGCGCGUAGGCGGCUUAUUAAGUCAGAUGUGAAAUCCCCGGGCUCAACCUGGGAACUGCAUCUGAUACUGGUAAGCUAGAGUUUUGGAGAGGGAAGUAGAAUUUCAGGUGUAGCGGUGAAAUGCAUAGAGAUCUGAAGGAAUACCAGUGGCGAAGGCGACUUCCUGGCCAAAAACUGACGCUGAGGUGCGAAAGCGUGGGUAGCAAACGGGAUUAGAAACCCUAGUAGUCC